RNAcentral lists this ribosomal RNA (343 nucleotides) under uncultured rhodophyte. Its description in RNAcentral is "SSU rRNA". It matches the Rfam family "Eukaryotic small subunit ribosomal RNA", at positions 576 to 926 of the family's 1831-position model. The record is from RNAcentral. Lineage: Eukaryota; Rhodophyta.
GCGGUAAUUCCAGCUCUGUAAGCGUAUACCAAAGUUGUUGCAGUUAAAACGCUCGUAGUCGAAUUUUGGCGUGCAACGUAGAAUGUUCGCGAGAAUGUUUCUAUGUUGGGCGCCUUUGUGGAUGGGGGCUUGAUGGCGCUUUGUUGCUUCGUUGAGUCACCGCCACCGUUUACUGUGAAAAAAUUAGAGUGUUCAAAGCGGGCGAUUGCCACGAAUACAUUAGCAUGGAAUAAUAGAAUAGGACCUGUGUCUUAUUUUGUUGGUUUUGUUAAGUUCAGGUAAUGAUUAAGAGGGACGGUUGGGGGCAUUUGUAUUCCGGCGCUAGAGGUGAAAGUCUCGGAUU